This 73-nucleotide transfer RNA is filed under the name Ictidomys tridecemlineatus (thirteen-lined ground squirrel). Its description in RNAcentral is "Spermophilus tridecemlineatus (thirteen-lined ground squirrel) tRNA". It matches the Rfam family "tRNA". Rfam says of the family: Transfer RNA (tRNA) molecules are approximately 80 nucleotides in length. Their secondary structure includes four short double-helical elements and three loops (D, anti-codon, and T loops). The record is from Rfam by way of RNAcentral. Lineage: Eukaryota; Metazoa; Chordata; Mammalia; Rodentia; Sciuridae.
GGGGAUCUAGCUCAGUUGGUAGAGUGCUUGCCUUGCAUGCACAAGGCCCUGGGUUUAAUCCCCAGCAUCGCCA